RNAcentral lists this ribosomal RNA (264 nucleotides) under uncultured bacterium. RNAcentral describes it as "partial 16S ribosomal RNA". It matches the Rfam family "Bacterial small subunit ribosomal RNA", at positions 793 to 1055 of the family's 1533-position model. The record is from RNAcentral.
GUCCACGCCCUAAACGAUGUCAACUAGUUGUCGGGGAAGUUAUUCCUUGGUAACGAAGCUAACGCGUGAAGUUGACCGCCUGGGGAGUACGGCCGCAAGGUUAAAACUCAAAGGAAUUGACGGGGACCCGCACAAGCGGUGGAUUAUGUGGAUUAAUUCGAUGCAACGCGAAAAACCUUACCUACCCUUGACAUGUCAGUAACCUCGCAGAGAUGUGAGGGUGCCCGAAAGGGAACCUGAACACAGGUGCUGCAUGACUGUCGU